Molecule: long non-coding RNA, 772 nt
Organism: Galleria mellonella (greater wax moth)
Lineage: Eukaryota; Metazoa; Arthropoda; Insecta; Lepidoptera; Pyralidae
Exons: 2
Source: RefSeq, a predicted model, not a curated record
UCUAGACUGCAAUGCUAUUCACUAAAAAUCUACCGCAACGCUGCGCCCGCCGACGAGCUCUAGGCUGAUCAGCCUUGCGAACGACCGUGGCUACAGCGCUGCGGUAAUUGGUAUUCACUAACGUGUCAAACCUCAUCGACGAACUGUAGGCUGUGAUAACUCGAGGCUGUGCGCACGGACGAGAUAGGGCUUGCAACAAAAACCGUAAAAUGAAACCGAUAACUGUAGAAAUAUAAUAUUUUAUUGACAAAUGGAAUGUUUUAUUCAGUUUAGAAUGUUAUUUAAAUAAAUAUUAUAUAAAAUAAACAUAAAUUUAUACAUCAAACAUUUGAUUUUGUUUUUUAAAGUUAAGAUUUGUUUGAAUACCCUUGCUUCCAUUGCCGUAAAAUAAACAAAUAACACUUAUACGUAGGUACGUAGAGAGUAUUAUAUUCCUUGUACUUAACAUUCCAGAGGCGCACUUUUUGUAUUUGUUUAUUCUCUUUUAAAAAUAAUUAAUAAAAUUAACGUAACUUUACCAACUUUUUAUAAGUUUGGAUGUAUCUAUCAAAUACGUCCACGCCGUCAUUUGACUGACAGUAUCCCGAUGACACUUAUCUCCUUCACAAUAGCAGCCUCAACUAGAAAGAGAGUAGUCUCACAAAGAUUUGUUGCCACUGAAGAGCACCGAGUAGAGACAGAACAAAUUUUGAUAGAGAAUCAGACAACACUAGUUCAUAUCUUAUAGCUAAUGAAUGAGAUAUGACUAAAUUAAAGUCAGCCAUUGUACGAU